UACGUAGGUGGCGAGCGUUGUCCGGAUUUAUUGGGCGUAAAGGGCGCGCAGGUGGUGCGGUAAGGCUGCCGUGAAAUCUCCCGGCUCAACUGGGAGGGUGCGGUGGCGACUGCCGGACUGGAGGCACUCAGAGGCCGGUGGAAUUCCCGGUGUAGUGGUGAAAUGCGUAGAUAUCAGGAGGAACACCGGCGGUGUAGACGGCUUUCUGGACCGUAGCUGACGCUGAGACACGAAAGCGUGGGUAGCAAACAGG
Molecule: ribosomal RNA, 253 nt
Filed under: uncultured bacterium
Lineage: Bacteria
Description: partial 16S ribosomal RNA
Rfam family: Bacterial small subunit ribosomal RNA
Source: RNAcentral